UCUAUUCAAGUAACUGAAUUUACUAUUCGUGAUGCAUACACGCUUAAAAUUUUUGAGGACAACCAAACAAACCUGCCUGGCUGGUGCAACAAGAAGGAUGGCGAGCAGGCUCAGCUCCCAUUCUGCCAGAUUCUUGGUGAGUAUUGGAUGGAAUUGCUUGGAUAUAACAGCGUAGAGCCAUAUGCCAAUAUGAACGAAAACUGUCCAUCCUUACCUCCCAGUUAUGAUAGGCCUGAGCGUUGUUAAUUUGAAAUCAACUAAUUUGUUAGUACUAAAAUGCUGUCCUUCCAUCAAGUACACAAUGUACCAGUUUCUUAGCUGCAAAGAUGUAUUUCGAGAACAAUAAGUGGUAUAUAUUUUCUCUUUCCCGCGUCCUACUGAAGAUAUGCUGAGGCAAUGCUGUACAUAAAUACUGUCUUUACUGGAACAGCA
This 432-nucleotide unclassified non-coding RNA is filed under the name Hevea brasiliensis (rubber tree). Lineage: Eukaryota; Viridiplantae; Streptophyta; Magnoliopsida; Malpighiales; Euphorbiaceae. The record is from RNAcentral.